Molecule: ribosomal RNA, 495 nt
Filed under: uncultured bacterium
Lineage: Bacteria
Description: partial 16S ribosomal RNA
Rfam family: Bacterial small subunit ribosomal RNA
Source: RNAcentral
GACGAACGCUGGCGGCGUGCCUAAUACAUGCAAGUAGAACGCUGAAGGAGGAGCUUGCUUCUCCGGAUGAGUUGCGAACGGGUGAGUAACGCGUAGGUAACCUGCCUGGUAGCGGGGGAUAACUAUUGGAAACGAUAGCUAAUACCGCAUAACAGUAGAUAUUGCAUGAUAUCUGCUUGAAAGGUGCAAUUGCAUCACUACCAGAUGGACCUGCGUUGUAUUAGCUAGUUGGUGAGGUAACGGCUCACCAAGGCGACGAUACAUAGCCGACCUGAGAGGGGGAUCGGCCACACUGGGACUGAGACACGGCCCAGACUCCUACGGGAGGCAGCAGUAGGGAAUCUUCGGCAAUGGACGGAAGUCUGACCGAGCAACGCCGCGUGAGUGAAGAAGGUUGUCGGAUCGUAAAGCUCUGUUGUAAGAGAAGAACGAGUGUGAGAGUGGAAAGUUCACACUGUGACGGUAUCUUACCAGAAAGGGACGGCUAACUACGUG